Molecule: transfer RNA, 63 nt
Filed under: Ectatops sp.
Lineage: Eukaryota; Metazoa; Arthropoda; Insecta; Hemiptera; Pyrrhocoridae
Description: tRNA-Gly
Rfam family: tRNA
About the family: Transfer RNA (tRNA) molecules are approximately 80 nucleotides in length. Their secondary structure includes four short double-helical elements and three loops (D, anti-codon, and T loops).
Source: RNAcentral
ACUCUUUUAGUAUAAUAAAUAUAUUUGAUUUCCAAUCAAAAGAUCUUGCCUUAAGAAAGAGUA